GGAAGCACACGUUUUGAUGACGUCAUUCUUCACAGGAAAUUCGUCCAUGUUUUCAUAGAUCGAUCAGAAUGAGAAUGCCUGAACCACUGUUGGUAUUCGGUGUCUGUCUACGACAAAACCUGACUUGCAAUCGUCGCUGUUGAGGCCAGACGGAACUAGAAAUUGAGGCAUGCCUUACCUACGGGACAAAGGCAGAUUUUUAUGGUAUACAAUUGUCAGCGGAGUAAUUUCCAAUGGGAAAGUGUCAAUCUUGUUGUGAGACCCCUGGAACCUCGACCAGCUCUAGGUACUCCAGUACACCACGGUCAGCAUCCGCAGCAGGGACUUAUCGGGGCAGGGCAGGCUCCCAGCCCCAGGCCCUCAAUUCAGAUGCUGGGGGUGGGGAUGUCCUCAGUCAUCUAACCUCCAGCAGGCAGCCUCAACCAAUCUCAGACAAAAAAAUGUUCACACCAUACCCAAAACUACCGCCAAUCAAAAAACAUAGCAAUGGCGAUAACAAAAGAUUAUCUUUCAUAUCUAGGGACUACUCUGAAAGUAAGAUACAAACACUGUUUGAGCAAUACAAGGACCCAGGGGAGGAUGCAAUAUUAGCUGAAGGUAUAGAAAAAUUCUGUGCAGAUUUAGAUGUAAAUCCAGAUGAAUUUAUAGUGUUGGUGCUAGCAUGGAAGUUCCAGGCCAAGACAAUGUGCAAGUUUACAAGAGAGGAGUUUGUCAAUGGUUGCAAAGCAAUAAAAUCAGACUCCAUCAAAGGUAUUCAGAGUAAGUUUACAGACUUGUUAACAGAAGUAAAGGACAAGCAAAACUUCAAGGAUCUGUAUAGAUGGACCUACAAGUUUGGGCUGGAUGCAGAGUCGGGACAAAGAACACUUCCCAUUGAUAUGACAAUCAGUCUUUGGAAGCUGGUCUUCUCACAGACAGAACCCCCUAUAGUACAGCGGUGGCUUGAGUUUCUAGAUGUCCAUCCAAAUAUCCGGGGCAUCCCACGGGAUACCUGGGACAUGUUUCUCAAUUUCACUGAGCAGGUCGGUGACGACCUAGGCUCGUAUGAUGACACCGAAGCCUGGCCUAGUCUCUUUGAUGAUUUUGUGGAAAAUGAAAAUGACAGACAGAAUCAAAACGUAAAAACGCUAUAGUAUAUUAGCUGUUUGAACAUUCCAUAUUAUUAAAAAGGUUGCCAUUACAUUGCAUACAUUUAAUAUUGAGUCUUGUCAGGGUUUAGUGGGAUGCCUUUUGUUGAAGUCUAUACAUACAUGUUACCUUGCAAUGUUUGCUGUUUAAUUCUCUAAGUAGCUGUAACUUUUUUCUUAAUUGUAAUUAAACUUCAAAUGUGCAAUUUUAGCUGAUGAUAUUUUAAGAUUAAAUUUAUUUUUAUUAAGUUAUAACCUUCUGCAAAUAAAUAUUGUAAAUCACCAUAUUUUUGAGUGAACUAUAUGCCUAUAGUUUUUAUUCUUAAAUAAUUGAAAUCAUAAUUGAGAGGAUGUUAUUUCAAUUUUGAUAGUAAUUAUCUCUGGAAAUAUUAUUUAAAGAGUAGUUUCCUAAGAAUUAAUACAGAAAUAAGUGAUAUAAAGUAAUGACUAGUGGAUUAGGCAGCAUGCAUAAAUAGUACUAGUGGAGUAUAUUGAAUACAAUGUUAAACGCCCUAACAGCUAAUUAGUGGCUACCUGGUAUACAGUAACUGAUCAUGUUUAAGAUUUCAGCAGCAAUUAUGACAAAAAUUGGAAUUGUGUCACACAUAUAUUGAUUUGUAAAUUUUUGUUAAAUUUAUAAUGAAAAAAUGUACUGGAGAGCCCUUCAUGUAAUUUGUAAUAAUUUAUUGUUGUUGAUUUCCACAAUCGUGUUGACAUGUCUUUAUACAUCCGACAAUACUUCAGGAGCUAAAUGAAAAUAAUAAGUAAGUCAUCAUUCCAUGAGUGUGAUCAGGUUGGGUGUAACUGGUUUGGAACUUAAGCACCACUACAUCCAAAGCCACAGGUGUCAAAUAUGUUAAGAGAGUUUCUCAAAAUGGGAGACAUUCAAAGUCAUAUUUACUUCUUCACUGUUUUGGAGUAAACAGCUUUUAUGUUGACAUAAAAAAAUAUACUAGACACAUGCAAGUAACAGGUCAUAGAAAUUGUUCAGUGGUUAUAUUUAGCUUAAAACUCAUGAUAGUUGUCAGGGUUGGUGCUUAAGCCGUCUAGGCACCUUUUUUACACUCGAAUCAUGACAUGAAAAAAAUUAGGAAAUUUGAUCUGUUUCACAAAAUUAAACAAUGCAAAUUUGUUCUAGCAACAUAUAUAUGUCAAUUUGCUAUGAUAAUUUUGAAAAAUGUUGCAAAAAUUUAAGUGGUACACUGUAAUGGUGACUUGAUGUUGUGGUACAAUUAGGGUAGACAACAUUUGGAUGAAAUGCCUGAUUUUCUGAUAUAUACAGCACUUGUAAUACUGUAAAGGUUAAACCUCUCACUGUAAUAAUAUGACAUAUACAGAACUUGAAGUACUGUAUAGGUCAAACCUCUCACUGUAAUAGUAUGAUAUAUACAGCACUUGAAGUGCUGUAUAGGUCAAACCUCUCACUGUAAUAGUAUGACAUAUACAGCACUUGAAGUACUGUAAAGGUCAAACCUCUCACUGUAAUAGUAUGACAUAUACAGCACUUGAAGUACUGUAAAGGUCAAACCUCUCACUGUAAUAGUAUGACAUAUACAGCACUUGAAGUACUGUAAAGGUCAAACCACUCACUGUUGGUGCAGUGUCUAUGUAAUGUUUAGAUUGUUACAAGGGAUCACCAUGACUAUUCCAUUAUCAAAUUGCUCACUCAUGCUAAAGUACAUGUAUAACUUGUAGCACAGCUUCACCUAAUAUUUCUAUUUAAACAAAAUAUCAAUUAUGCAUAAAACUUAUUGUCUUUGGAUUAAUUUAAACAUUAUUGGAGAAGGACUGAUUUUGUUGUUUAAAGCUGAACAUCAACAGUUUUUACAUUGUCAAGGGAACACCUAGGACUUGUCAGCGUGGAUCACUCCCUCCCUCCCCUCAGUAUGUAGCUGUUGUAUAUAUAAGCAAACCAGUAAAUCUUUUCGGUAGCAAUAUUUCUUAACAACUGCCACUGGGGUCAAUGUCACAGUGAAUAAACAUAACAGUUACUUUAUGAAAAAACUGUAGGAUGUCAAUAAGAAAUUGGAUAGUACUUAUGUAGUACCUACAUACAUAGAUGACAUCAUAAUUUUUCAUAUCAUUUUGGUGUAAAAAUUAUUGCUCAUGAAUUUCUUAAAUUAAAUAAAUGAAUUGGAUCCAUCAUUAUUAUUUCAUUGUGUCAUACGUAUACCUAGGUGUUUCUGCCUUGGAACUAUAACAGAAGAAGAGGUUUAGGUUGUCUCCCUUCAGCUACCCCAGUUGUGGUGAUCAUUGGUAGCAUAAUCAAGGAUUUUGUUUUAGGACACAUAGCUUUUUGUACCAAGACAAGCCAUGCAGGUUAUAUUAUACUACACUUACAUUGAGCAGCUUCUCCUUAAAGCACAAGGUCAUUUCAAAGCCAGGUGGCCUGUAGAUUUAUGGCUUAUAUUUUUGAAAUUCCUUACAAAAGAUCAUGCAUCAGUAUUUCAUAAUCAGCAACUGUAUACCUGUAUUUUAAUAUAUCAUAGGAAAAUCAAAACAUGCAAUUUAACAACAACUCUUUUACAUAAGAGUCUCUGAGUGAGAAUAUUUUAAAACUGAUUUUAAUCAAUGCCAUUAAAUGAUGUGUAGUUAAACUUAUUGACUGUAGAUCUAGGUAAUAACCCAAGUCUCUGCUAUUGGUUGAUGUCUCCAUUCACUACCUACAUAUUCAUGUAUAUAUUCUGAUAUAUGAAUAUACAACUUGUGUUGUCCAUUACGGUACAUAUCUCACCUGAAUGUACAUGACAAUCCUUAUAGUGCUGUAACACUGUCGACCGUGUAAGAUACUGAUCAGCUAUACAGUACGUACACUGUAGUGUGAGUGUUUCCACUGACCCCACAGAGACAUGGGGAGGGAGGUUUAGUGUAGGCAUCACUCUAAUGUGUACAGCUAUACAGUACGUACACUGUAGUGCGAGUGUUUCCACUGACCCUACAGAGACAUGGGGAGGGAGGUUUAGUGUAGGCAUCACUCUAAUGUGUACAGCUAUACAGUACGUACACUGUAGUGCGAGUGUUUCCACUGACCCUACAGAGACAUGGGGAGGGAGGUUUAGUGUAGGCAUCACUCUAAUGUGUACAGCUAUACAGUACGUACACUGUAGUGCGAGUGUUUCCACUGACCCUACAGAGACAUGGGGAGGGAGGUUUAGUGUAGGCAUCACUCUAAUGUGUACAGCUAUACAGUACGUACACUGUAGUGCGAGUGUUUCCACUGACCCUACAGAGACAUGGGGAGGGAGGUUUAGUGUAGGCAUCACUCUAAUGUGUACAGCUAUACAGUACGUACACUGUAGUGCGAGUGUUUCCACUGACCCUACAGAGACAUGGGGAGGGAGGUUUAGUGUAGGCAUCACUCUAAUGUGUACAGCUAUACAGUACGUACACUGUAGUGUGAGUGUUUCCACUGACCCUACAGAGACAUGGGGAGGGAGGUUUAGUGUAGGCAUCACUCUAAUGUGUACAGCUAUACAGUUUUUUUAAUCAAUGUGGUUGACUUUUUAUCAAACUGUUUUUAUCAUUUAGUGAUAAAUGUUAUAUGAUUAUUAUGUUAAUUGCCUUAUGCUUACAUCUGUUGCUGUUUUUCUGCUCCUUAUGUAUGCAUGUUGUUGAUAUAUGAAGAAUCUCACCCAUAUUCCUGACACUUAGUCUGUUACAGUUUGUGGUAUAACCAAAUCAAGUAUAGAAAUACUUCAGUUCAAAAUUAAAAAACACUCCAUUCUGUAAAAAGUCACGAAAUUUGGAAUUAUUUCAGAUAAACGCUGAGCAUGAAGUCAAGAUCCCAAUUUUAUUGCAGUUUCUGAAAAGAGUUGGAAGAAACUUGUUUUAAAUCUAUGUGUUUCCUGUGACCUUAAAGACACUACGUAAACAUUUUAGUCUUGGUGACUAGUUGAAUUCACUAGUCCUUCUUCACAGUUAUUGGGUUCAAUAUCUGGCUACUGUAGUUAUAAUAUACCCAGCACUAAGUAUUCACCUAGACGAUCAGAGAUCUGGCUACUGUAGUUAUAACAUACCCAGCACUAAGUAUUCACCUAGACGAUCAGAGAUCUGGCUACUGUAGUUAUAACAUACCCAGCACAAAGUAUUUUACUGAACUAGGUAGCUGUCAUGGACAUCAAAUCUUCCUAGUGUAAAGGAAGUAGGGUGAUAUCGCAGAAAACUUUGCAACCAACACUCAGUAUUCCUGUAUUUUCAGCUUUCUGGAAAGGUAUAUAUAUUUACCAGUUAAUGUAACAGCCAAAUGGUAGUAUAUAUAUUUACCAGUUAAUGUAACAGCCAAAUGUUAUUCUGAUCAGGACCAAUUGGACUAGAUGAUAAUCUUUCUGAAAUGGACUACUUUCUGACUAGAGGACUAGUACAGAACCCUGAGGAGGGGAGGUUAUCCCUAACCUAGUGUGUACAAACAGCCUUAGGUGGAUGUACCUAGCAAUUGUGUUACAGUUAUGAUGUUUUUAUUAUCAGCUUGAUUGAUAGGUUAUGUUAUCAGCUUAUCAUUGAUUUUCUCAGAUUGUACUGUUUUAACCUGUGACUGUAAGGUAAACAACUGUUUUGGUACAAGUGGAGCACUGCUUGCUAUAAGCCUGUCAAUAUGCACGUAACUUCAAUUAAGAAGAUAAGGUGAAAUGUAAUUUUUGAGAUAAAAAGUGGCAUGUAUCUUAACUCACAAGACUGUUCAAGGGGAACAGAUAUAAAUGUUGUUGUGUGACUAUGAUAGAACCCCUCAUCCAUUGUCCCAGUACUCUUUUGUACACUCAACUAUGUGCUGUAGAGGGACCAAUAUGUUUUGCCCUAAAUGUUGUGCCUUUCUGUACAUAUGUUUUCAAAAUAUUCAAACAUGACAGACAGCUGAGGAGAUGCAGAUAAAAUGUAUUAUGUAAAAUGGUUGAGACAACUUUUAUUUUACUCUCUAAGAAUGGAUAGGUAAUUUUUUUUAACGAAGUUUUAUUUCUUGUAUGAUUUGAGAGGUUUAUAAACCCACAUUCAAUCAUUGAAAUUAAUUACAUUAAAGGAACAAGAAAAAAGUCAUGGCUAGCUCUUUUAACUGAAUAGUGUUGUCGUCAUCAAUACUGAAAAUUGUUAGUAUUCCUCAACCUAAUGACUGACGACAGAGUAAACAAUAUCUUACUAGGAAGAGAAGGAAAACAUGAGUUUUCAGGUGGUUCUGGUACUAUUGCUGAGGUAGUGCCUUACAAACGCAAUUUGGUCUGAAAACACAAUUUUAUAGUUAGACUACGCUGAGCAGAUCACCAUCAGUCAUCCUUAUUUUGUGGGAUCGAACAAAGAGGAUAACAACAAAACAAUUCUUGUGCCAUUGUAUUAAAAUAUUAUUUUACUGAAGACAUUGUUUCCCUCCUAUCAUUGUGAGUUGACCUUUAAUCAAGUACAGACUAUCCUCUUUUGGUAACGCACAGGAGACAAGGUUAUGUUUCAAAACCAGCAGAGAAACAGAUUUCUGCUAAUGAAUGAUAUUUCUCACAUAGAAAUGCAGCUGUUGGCAUUGUUUAUACUGUAGAUAUCAGCUUCCCUAUACAUUUUAUGAUCAAUUAAUGAAAGUGAGAUUUGCACAAGUAUGAUUGGUUUGUAGUAAUGGAUACAUACAACUUCAUGUUGUGUCAUAUCUACUGUAGGAGUUGUCGAGUAACUGUGUACUGGAUACAUACAUACAACUUCAUGUUGUGUCAUAUCUACUGUAGGAGUUGUAGAGUAACUGUGUACUGGGUCCACAUCUGUACCUAGAUCAACUAUGGAAAUUAAUGAGGCCAUGGCUACCAUUGCCUAAUCUUAACGAGAAUUUUUAUCUUUUUCCAAAUUCAGGUCAGUCCUUUGGAGAUUGAAAAUAUUAGUCACACAGAUCUUCAAGUGUUGAAAUGUGUGAAUAAUUCAUUUGAGUCAGAACUUUCAUUUUCAUUUCAAAAGUAAAUUUGGACAAUUCAUAUGAAUUUACCCUGUUCGUUAUUUCCCAUUUUUUUUUUAUAGCAUAAACAUUUUAGAAAUAGAAUGUUUCAUGUUGAUUGACUGAAACAUUACCUAUCUUGUCCUAUAAAGCUUUUACUUAUUUUAUGAAAAAUGUUUUACAUGCAGUUUUUAGUGGAAAGACAUGUAUUUUAAACAAAGGUCAUCCUUCAAUGUAAACUUUUGGAAAAUUUGAGUCCGAAGUUAAGUUGAUUAUGUUGAGGUUUUUUGGGCCUACAUUAUGAGGUGGGUGUAUGAAUGCCAAGUGUUGUUUAAUAUAUAUAUAGUUCUGUGUCAAACACAGACUUAAAGGCUAUACUGAGCUUUAGAUAUCCUGGUUUGUAUAGACACACAGUGUGAUAGUUCUAGCUUGAGUGACAUAUAUCAAUAUGGAUUCUAGUCAUCUUAUACCCAGUUUGAUUUAGUAAUUAUUUCUACCUUUUAGACGUGUCCAAUAACAAUGCCCUGUAGAUCUGUUUUAAUUUGCUGCUCAACUUGGGCAUUAUGCUAUUGAGAUGACAUGGUUUUCUUAGUUUAUUUUUCAAAUUCAUUGACAAUCAUGGAUAAAGAACUUGUGUACCAAUAAACAAUUGUGAUAAAGCGGUAAAAAAAACUUAAAGUGAACCCUCUCAUCUAUCUCCUCCUGUCACCUGUGGUGGCAUUUUCCAAUCGCAGAUGAUGGAUUGCUGUAAUAAUGCCAUUCCAUAAGAUUAAUGAAUGAAUUUGUAACUUGUAUUGAUUUCUCCCCCUAAGUCGUACAUGUUAAGUAUUUACAUACAGUAGUUUUGUAGGUUGAUUAACAACCUUUCAAAGCAUGAAGGCUUCCAACACGUGUAGUGGCCCUGUAUGUCAAACACAAGUUCCUUAUCCAGGACUGAACGUCGUGCCAUGUGCCUAGACCAUAGUAAUGGGGCUGCUUGAGUUACCCCAGACAUACCAUAAAGUUUUAAUUUGCAUAAUAGUAUUCUUUCUUGUUUGAAAAAAGGUAAUAAAUUGCUAUGUUGAUCUCAA
RNAcentral lists this unclassified non-coding RNA (8093 nucleotides) under Mizuhopecten yessoensis (Yesso scallop). Its description in RNAcentral is "dCN1-like protein 3, transcript variant X5". Lineage: Eukaryota; Metazoa; Mollusca; Bivalvia; Pectinida; Pectinidae. The record is from RNAcentral.